UUGCUGCGUUUGCUGACGAGUGGCGGACGGGUGAGUAAUGUCGGGGAAACUGCCCGAUGGGGGGGGAUAACUGCUGGAAACGGUAGCUAAUACCGCGUAACGUCGCAAGACCAAAGAGGGGGACCUUAGGGCCUCUUGCCAUCGGAUGUGCCCAGAUGGGAUUAGCUAGUAGGUGGAGUAAAGGCUCACCUAGGCGACGAUCCCUAUCUGGUCUGAGAGGAUGACCAGCCACACUGGAACUGAGACACGGUCCACACUCCUACGGGAGGCAGCAGUGGGGAAUAUUGCACAAUGGGCGCAAGCCUGAUGCAGCCGUGCCGCGUGUAUGAACAACGCCGUCGGGUUGUAAAGUACUUUCAGCGGGGAGGAAGGGAGUAAAGUUAAUACCUUUGCUCAUUGACUUUACCCGCUUAAGAAGCACCGGCUAACUCCGUGCCAGCACCCGCGGUAAUACGGAGGGUGCAAGCGUUAAUCGGAAUUACUGGGCGUAAAGCGCACGCAAGCGGUUUGUUAACUCAGAUGUGAAAUCCCCGGGCUCAACCUGGGAACUGCAUCUGAUACUGGCAAGCUUGAGUCUCAUACAGGGGGGUAUAAUUCCCGGUGUAGCGGUGAAAUGCGUAGAUAUCUGGAGGAAUACCGGUGGCAAAUGCGGCACUCUGGGCGA
Molecule: ribosomal RNA, 664 nt
Filed under: uncultured bacterium
Lineage: Bacteria
Description: bacterial SSU rRNA
Rfam family: Bacterial small subunit ribosomal RNA
Source: RNAcentral